AACUAAGGCAUAACACCUUGUAAAUGCCUGAUCUAGUUUGAUCUUAGGAGCUAACAGGGUUGGGCCUAGUUAGUACUUGGAUGAGAAAGUGAUGGGAAUACCAUGUGCUGUAGUGG
RNAcentral lists this ribosomal RNA (116 nucleotides) under Periophthalmus magnuspinnatus. The record is from RNAcentral. Lineage: Eukaryota; Metazoa; Chordata; Actinopteri; Gobiiformes; Gobiidae.